Molecule: non-coding RNA, 3716 nt
Organism: Rattus norvegicus (Norway rat)
Lineage: Eukaryota; Metazoa; Chordata; Mammalia; Rodentia; Muridae
Source: RefSeq, a predicted model, not a curated record
AGAGAUGAGACUUUAAAGAACACGGAAUCAUUUCAAGGUAGGACACAAAAAGGGAUGAGACUGUAAAGAACACGGAAUCAUUUCAAGGUAGGGAAUAGAAAGGGAAGCGAAAUCGAAGCUGUAAAAUGUUUUUUUUUUUUUUCAAGCAAAACAAAACAGAAACCAGAAAGGAGAAGAAAAACUGUUUGGAGGCUGGCUAGAAGGCACACCCAGGACCAGGCUGGUUGAGGUCUCAUUAUGGCCUCCGUCCUGCGGUAGGGCCUGAUGUAAACAUCUCACGGCUACUGUGGGUGUUAUGUCAAAACACUGGUGACAGCGCAUCGGGAGCAACAGAUUGAUAAACUCUGCCAACACUCUUCCCUCCUCUCACAUUCUCUUCAAACAAAUGAAACAAGUCUGGGGAGAGGAUGCUGGCAGGAGAGGCGUGGGGUUGGAAGUGAAGGACUGUUUGGCCUGCUGAGGAAGGGUGAUUUUUAUAAAGAGAUCUUUAAGGAAAUGUUAGGAGUGGCUACCAAUAAUAUCCUUUAGCACAUGCAGGAAGGACAUUCAAGAACCCUCCAAUCAGUCAGUGAAGAGCAUGUCAGAUUAUCACCGUGUUUUGUUCCUGCAGAAAGGAAGACAGCUAACUUGAUACACGACUUUUUUGCCUUUGGAUCACGGAUGACAAAAUCACUUGUGACAAAUUCUGCUGGGUGUACUGUCAUUGAACUACACUGAGACGUGUCAGAAUGACCAGCCCUGAGGCCUUCACUGUAGCAGAAACAUGGCUGAGGAAUGCCCUGCUGUGCUCAGAGAGCCCAAGAGAAGUCCUAUUUCUCGGCUCUUAGCCUGGCUUUAAUCUCCUGGAGCUUUUACUAUUGCAAACAUUUAUCCCCACUGUCUUGCUCUUGAGUACUUCGUCUGAACGACCUCUGAUCUACGGCAAUGGCCGUGUUCUUAGCCUCGUAAACAGCAAUGAACCAACCCCAUGCUACUGUAGCUUUCUGGUUUUACUGUAGUUAUUAAAAAGCAAAUAGAAAAGAUUUAAACAAUUUAAAGAUGAUCCUUUUGCCAUGAACAAGUAUCACGGUGCUAGCAAAUGGGUUAAUUGAGCCUCAGCAUUGUGCCUGGCACACGGGAAGCAGACUGGAAAAGUCACUAGUCAUCUGGUGCACUGAGAGCUACAUAGGAGCAGAGAGAUUAUGAUGUUGUACUAAUCAUUGUGACCUUUCUGGCCAGAGAGCCCACCUGGGCUCAGCUUGCUACCAAGUGAGGUGACUGAGUCCGACAGAAUGGUUGAUCCAAAGGUGGCCUUAUACUUAUCAGGUGCCAAAUUGCCAUGGGUCCCUGACCUCAGAUGUGCUGAAGACAGGCCCUAGUGACCAUCAGAUGACCUCAAACCACCUCUUUAACACCAAUCACUGUGCCGCACCAUCGGUGUCCGUCUACUCACAGUGACAGAUAUAAGUGGCGACAGAUCUGAUGGGGACCUCGAUAAAGUCGGCUUGGCAUUAUCAGUGCCUGACAAAGUGAUGUUCCUGGUCAGUUUCAAGGCAGACAGGGAUGCUGACAUGUGAAAGAGGCAUCUUCUGGUCUAAUGAAAAACAAAACAGACCAAUGGUGGUCUUCUCCACUUCCCACAGGUGGGCGAAAGCCCUGGCUUGGAGUUACCAGCACUAUUUUAAAUUACUCUUUUUUUUUCCCCAUUGCACAUUCCCUUUGCACUUCUUCUGAAACACGUGGUUUGCUUCCUGCUGCUAUUGAAGGAUGGCCUUGUCUAUCAAAGAGACAGGUCAAAUUUAUGGAAAAUACCAGAACACAGUGGAGAGAACACGCCAGCAAACCACCAAGAGCUGUAAGCCACCGAAGAUUACACAGGACUGGAGUCUGAACACUUUGUGGCUGAAGAAGAACUGGAUCCAGUAGACACAGGCUGGUGCAACCCCACUGACCUAAGUCACUGAGGCUGUGCGCUAUUUCCGGUCUUAUUUUUUUGGAAUAAGUUGUCAGACCUAUUCAAAGACACAGGCGUGCUUCUUGGGAGAACAUUUGCCAAACGUCAUGGAUUGUCUCGAGAGACGGCUCCUGGUCAGUCCACACAGGAUCUCACUGUGUUUGACACCUCUUUGGAGGCUAUGCUUUUUGGCAAUGGAGCCGCCCCAGAGUCGCCUAAAGGAUACUCUAGAAGAUCUAGGCAACUUCCACCAAAAAAGCUCAGCAUGUGCGAUGUGCCAGCCACAGGGCUGAGUGUAUCACACGCAUCAUCCCUCUUCUCCCACCCCCACUCCCUGUGUCAAUGCUGACUCCAUUGCACCAAUGAGGAGACCCAGUCUCAGAGAGGUCUAGAACCCUACGGCUGGGAGAUGACAGCGGGAGGCAGAGCCCGACCUUUAGCAUAACAUCCUUAAGCUGCAGGCCGUAUUUCAUCCUAACGCCUUGCACGACUGGCUCUUGUAAUACCGCAACACGGGCUUCUUAAAACAUACCAGCUUUUGACCAAAAUUACUCAUGUGAAGGUCUAAGUGGCCACCAUUUUAAUUUUUGGGAGGGGAGGGGAGGGAGAGGGAAGAGAGGGUGGGGGACACAAGGCUGGAAGUAGACACAUGAGCUGCUUUCAGCCACCUGAUCCCAGUGACCCUGGAUGCCACUCACUGGCAUCUUUUUCUGGCACAUCCUCCAGGACUGUAUCCUAAAGAGGUCCUUGAACCCUAGGGCCUGAGUUGGAAACUGGCGGUGAUAAAAUCCCUGCCCCGUAGAAAUGCUGUGGUAAUUAAAUGAGAUAACACAUGCAUAGAACACACGGGAGUCGGCCACAUCUGCUAGGCAGGUGGCUAAUUACUGUCAUCUAUAAAGAAAAUGAAAACGGAACUGUAAAGCCAGAGGUUUUCUAGCAGCCAGGACGGACGAUUUAGUUUGAGACCAUCUCUACCCACUCUGUUAUCUGUUUGCCCAAGGACUUUCCCACACCCCCAAAGGCAGACCGUGAAGAAGGCUGGGACAAGGGAACAUCAAGACCUCAGACAGAGGCCCAUUCAGCUUCACAGUCUUGGUGCUUAGACACAGAAGGCCUUUCAGGGACUCCAUGCCUGUGACACACGCUAGAUCUGAGCACUAGUAGGUAGUCUGCGGAAGGACAUCUGUAGGAACGAAGAACUUCUGCUCGACAGACAGUAAAACUUCCCAGGCACUGGCCAGGGGAGUUGGGGGAAGGGUGGUGGUGAGUGACAUCUCUACCCCCAAACUUUGAGGCUGUAGUAAGGCUUGCCUUUCCGAUGGUACCUUUUUUUUUUCUUGGAGCCAAAGCUGAUGAGCCAGACAAGUUGAUUUUGAGGCGUGUCCUCUCUAAGUAGACCUCAGUCACUCCUGCUCUAUCUCUGUCCUUUUCCAUAUGACUUUCCCAGACCUCUUCGUCAUGUUCAGGGCCCAGCUUUUACCUUUUCCCAUGGCCCCUCCUCUAAAUUGCUGAACUGGUCAUCAGCCACCCUGACCCAUUUUGGUCAGCCUGGUGCUGGGCGCUGGCCGUGGAAACCCAAUGCCGUCCUGGGGUGCAAGAUAGUAAUGAAGUGGAAACAGGGACACGGCCUGAGGAGGGCUUGAGUGCUUGCUUGGUCCUAACCCAGAACAUUCAUGAGCAAAUGGGGCUCUUCUGCCAGAAAUAAAACAUUCCCGCACAGUGAGAAAGCCACAGAGGGUCGUGACUGUGAGGGCCAAGCAUACAAUAAAUGGAUUCACUAGCU